This is a long non-coding RNA of Canis lupus familiaris (dog), 12522 nucleotides long. RefSeq lists it as uncharacterized. The record is from RefSeq and is a predicted model, not a curated record. The transcript is spliced from 10 exons. NCBI's taxonomy places the organism in Eukaryota, Metazoa, Chordata, Mammalia, Carnivora, Canidae.
AAAAGACAUACAUAUUUGGAAAGAAGAAAUGAAACUGUGAUUAAAUAUAUAGAAUAUGAUUAUAUAACAUGAUUAAAUAUAUAGAAAAUCCCAAGGAAUUUAUAAACACAAACACCAAAACAAAUUCCUGGAACUAAGUAUUCUAGCAAGGUUGAAGAUUUGAGGUUAAUAUACAAAAGUCUUUCUUCUAUACUAGAAAUGAAUCCUAGAAACUUGAACUUAAAAGCACAAUAUUAUUUACAUUAUUAGUGCCUCCCCUAAAUUAAGUACGUGUGGAUAAAUCUAACAAAAUACUUGAAAUAUUCAGAUGGAAAAAAAAUCAACAAAGAUUCAAAUAAAUGGAGAUGUGUUCCAUGUUCGUGGGCAGGAAGACUCAAUACUGUUGAUGUCAGUUCUUUCCCCCUCAAUCUAUAGAUUUAAUGCCUUCCCAGUAAAAAUUCAGUCAGCUAUUUGUGGUUAUUGACAAGCUAAUUCUAUAGUUUAAGUAGAAACUCAAAGGCCUAGGGUAGUUAACACAAUUUUGAAGAAGAACAAAAUUGGAAAACUGACACUAUCUUACUUCUAGAGUCAAAAGAAAGCUACAGCAGUCAGGAUAGUGUGUGAAAGAAUAGACAAAUUGGUGAAAGAAUAGACAAAUAGAUCAAUAGAACAGAAUGGACAGCCAAGAAACACACCUGCACAAAUAUCAUCAACUGGUCUUUGAUUAAGAGACAAAGGCACUUCAAUAGAGAAAAGUUAGUCUCUUCAACAAGUGGUGCUGGAACAAAUUGAUAUUUACAUGCAAAAUGUAAAUUUAGACACUGGCCUUUGACAAAAAUUAGCUUACAAUUGAUCAUAAGCCUAAAUAUGCAAUACAAAGCUAUAAAACUCCUAGAAGGUAACAUAAAAGAAAAAUCGAGUUGACUUUGGGCUUGGUAACGCCUUUUUAGAUAAAAGCACAGUCCAUGAAAGAAAAAGAUUGACAAACUGGACUUCAUUAAAAUUUAAAAAAAAAAUCUGCUCUUUGAAAGACACUAUUAGGAGAAUUAAAAGAUAAGCCACAGAUAAGCCACCUUUUCCACAAAGGUGAAAAAAAAAAAAAAAAAACCUUUGCAAAGUAUGUAUCUGGUAAAAUACUUAUAUUCAAAAAAAUAUAAAGAACUCUUCAAAGUUAAUAGGAAAAGUGAAUUAAAAAGUUGGAAAAAUUUGAACUAAUCCCUAACUAUCAAAGAUAUACAGAUGGCAAACAGGCACUUAAAAAGAUGUACAACAUCAUUUGUCAUUAGGGGAUUACAAAUUAAAACAACAGUAAGAUAGCACUAGAGACCUCUGAGAAUGUUUAGAUUAAAAGAGAUGUGAGAACUCCGAAUGCUGGUGAGAAUGUGCAGCAGCAGGAAGUGUCAUUCGUCACGGGUGGGAAAGCAACAUGGUAGUCCCUUUGAACGACAGUCUGGCAGUUUUCUUACAACGUUAAAUAUAGUUUUACCAAACAAUACAGCAAAAUUAUACCCAGCUAUUGUCCCAAGUUGAGUAGAAAACUUAUGCCCACAAAGAACCCGCACAUUAAUAUUUAUAGCAGGUUUAUAUGUAACUGCCAAAUUUGGAAGCAUUCAGAAUGCUCCUUAGUAGGUGAACGGUAAAUACACAGUUGUAAUUCAUGUAAUGGAGUCUUGUCAGCAAUCAUAACAAGGUUUAUUAUGAAGGACAUGGAAGAGCAUUAAAUACAUAACUGUCAGUGAAAGACACUAAUCUAGGAAGGCUACUUACGAUGUAAUUCCAACCAUAUGACGUUCUGGAGAAACCGUAACUCUAGAGGCAGGUUUUAGAUCAGUGCCUCCAGUGGUUUGGGGGAAGAGGAGGGUUUUAGAACAGUGAGACUAGUUUGACUGAAACUAUAAUUGGUGGAUAGAUAAUAUCGUCAAAAUCCAUAGAAUGUGCAGUGGGAACUGUGUACCCUACUGUCAACUACGGACAUGAGUGAAAAAUAAUAUAUCCAUAAUUAUGCAUCAAUUGUAACGUAUGUGCCACACUAAUGAAAGGUGUCAAUAAUACAGGAAACUGCGAUAGGGAAGGAGAGGGCAUAUGGAAUCUCUCUGUCCCCUUUGCUCAAUUUUCUGCACAUUUAAAGCUGUUCUAAAAUAAAAUCUGUUAAUUAAAAUGAAGUUUAUUCCAAAGGUUUGGAUUUGGAAAAAUUUUAAUUUUUAAAACUUUAAAUUUAAAGUUUUAAUUAUUUUCACAUCAAAUUUUUCUUUUUUUGUUUUACUUUAUCUUUUCUUUUGAAGAGAAGAGGGGCAUGCGAGAACUGAAUGUAUGCACGUGGGCAAACCGCCCGGGCCUACAGAGGGAUGCAGACUGUUGAGAUUAGGGGCAGAGUAACUGCUUGGGAGGAGAGCAAGGGAGACGUUAUCCUGGAAUUGCCGUGUAUGUGAGCAGGGGCUUGUAGGGUUCCUCCCUCCAGGAUUCUCUAGGAUUGGAUCCAUUUGUCAUUGUGCAUCUGCCUUUUCCUUGUGAGUUCAGCAGUGGGCCCUGCUGGUGAUAAGCCAGACAGUCAACAGUAGCCCCACCCCCACCCCCACCCCACCACCGGGCUCUACACAUUCCUCCAUCCCUGUAAGCAAGGCUGUGUUCUUCUUGGGCUUGCUCCUUGAAGAGCCUUUGCUUGCUUCGGGACACCUCUGAGUAGUUAAAAUUCUCCAUUGUGCAGGAAAUGGUCCCUGGGAGCUAUAAAGGGAGACAAACCUGCAGGGAACCCAUGGGAAAGAAAAAUAAGUCUGCCCUAUGAUUCCCAUGACCUGGUUGUCAUUACUCGGUGUUUUGUUCCUUUUGUUUUCUCUGGUCUGUUAGUAAGGUCUUGUUUAAAUAUUCCAGUCAGAUCUCAGUGGUCUAAACUAGAUUAAGAUCAUUAAAUGGGCUACGACAUCCUCUAAAACCAGAAUAGGGCCAAGAGCAACAAUUAGUGAGAAAUCCUCGGAUGAUAUGAACAGAAGAGGAGGAGAGGCCUGUGAGCUGCAGCAUCUGCACAGGGAGACUCUCCCUCCAUAGUGGACCUUGUUGACUAGUGUCUCUCAUCCCUGAGGAGGAGGAGGGACAUGGAGGCUGGAGACUAGGCUGGCCUGAUGCCCCAAGAGAUGUGAGGGACGGUGGUCCUGGGUGGAGGCAGUUGCAUUAGGGUUACCUUGGCAACCUCCACCUGUCGUCCACAUAUUCUAAUGCCCUUCAGGCCGAGUUGUUCCCAUCGAGGAAAAGCCAAGAAUCUCUGUCCUUUGUCCUUUUUCUAAAGAACUCCUUUUCCUCAGUUAAAGCUAAGACUCGCUAUUACCCACUGUCCAUCCUAACUAAGACUUUUUGACUCUGGAAUCAAACUUCUCAGGUAUUUUUUUUGGAGGUGAUGCUGGAAAUGUCAACCCAUUGACAACCCAAUGGGUUACAAUGUCAACCCUUUGUAAAGGCUAAAAUUCCCAUAUCAACCUAAAUAAACAAGCAGUAGAUGUAUUAUACAUUUUUCUUGAAGAGUUGCCAGCAUUCAUUUUUCCUCCUAGUUUUGUAAAAUGUAAUAAUAAAACACUUGGGGUUGUGCAGCAAAAGAAACUUCUAACACACUUAUUAUUCAAUAAUAAAUGAGUCUCAUAUUUUGUAUCCCAUUAGGUAUUCUGUAUCAAGGCAAUUUUAAAAGAACUGGAAAUGCAACCCGAAUAUUCAAGUGGAGGAUAGAAAUUAAUAAGAUGGGCUGGAGGAGGAGCCAAAGGCUGAAUUAAUUAGGCUGGGGAUUAUAAACCAUGUUCUGGAACCCUAUGGCUUUACAAAAUAAAUUUAUCUUAUGAAACUAUUUUAAUGUAAAAACCAUUAUCACUAUUAGAGUUUGACUGGCAUUGUGUUGACUAUGUAGCUAAGGCUCUAUUUCUUUCAUUUCUCAGCAGUGUUGUAUAGUGUUUAGUGUACAGGCUUUAUACACAUUUUAUUAAUUUUCUCCUAUGAUUCCAAUGAUUCUGGAUGCUGUUCUAAAGGGCAUUUAAAAAUAUAAACUUUCAUAAUUUAAGUAUACAUUUAAUAUAAAUUUUCCAUCAUUUCAAAAUAUAUUACUUGCUAGUUUUUGCUUAAGAUUUGGUGUCUUUUAAGUUUAUGAUUAGUAUAUAAUUAAGCUUAUUUUAUGACAUUUUGAAAAAGCCCUGUUCUAAAGUGCUGUGGUUUAAAGGCAAUGCUAGUGUCUACUGGAGUUCUCUCUCUUGGCUUAGUCUUGGUCGAAGGCAGAAGCUGUGCUCGGCCUCACAUGUCUAACAGGUGCUCAUGGGUGGGUUGCCUUUUGAUUCACCUGAAUCACAGAGUAACAACUAACAACACCUUGGGGUGCUGAUGACAAAGUUUUUCUCUCUUUAAGACACUGUUCUCGGGGAUCCUUGGGUGGCGCAGCGGUUUAGUGCCUGCCUUUGGCCCAGGGCAUGAUCCUGGAGUCCUGGGAUCGAGUACCACAUCAGGCUCCCUGCAUGGAGCCUGCUUCUCCCUCUGCCUGUGUCUCUGCCUCUCCCUCUCUGUGUCUCUCAUGAAUAAAUAAAUAAAAUCUUAAAAAAAAAAAAAAGACACUGUUCUCCAAGCCCUCCGGGGUUCCUCCUCUCUCUAGCCUUCAACCCACUCCAUGCCCUUAACUACCAGUACCUCCCUGGCUGUAGGAUUGCUUUCUUUCUCAGGCCAUAUAUAUAUUUUUUUUUUUCUGGAGGAGGGACUCGUAGUUGUUAUACCCCUUCUUGUUAUCUUUCUUUUCUAUAACCUCAAACUCUUCUACUCUAUCACUGACAAUUCUCUCUUCUUUCCUCACAAAGUCCUUGAUGGCCCUUUGAAAAACAUCUUUCUGGUCUUUCAGCUCUGGAGUCUAAAGCAUUAGCAAUAUAUAAGCAUGGUACUUUUAGUCUAUCCUGGAAAUGGUUCAAAUUCCUAGAAAAUAGAAGAAAAAGUGGGAGUUCAUAUUGCUAAACAACAUGCCACAGCACACAUAAGAACAAACACUCACAUAGGACUUUUGUUGAUUUAGAUGGCAGCAGAGAAAAAAGCCUGACGUCAAAUUUGGACUCUACCACUUUCCAACAUGUGGGCAAAUCACCUUGCCACUCUAAAUCCUAUGGUCUUGGGACGCCGGGGUGGCUCAGCGGUUGAGCACCUGCCUUCAGCCCAGGGCGUGAUCCUGGAGUCCUGGGAUCGAGUCCUGCAUCGGGCUCCCUGCAUGGAGCCUGCUUCUCUCUUUGCCUGUGCCUCUGCCUCUCUCUGUAUCUCUCUCAUGAAUAAAUAAAUAAAAAUAUUAAAAUAAAUAAAUCCUAUGGUCUUCUUUUGUAAAUUGGAAAAUAAUGGCCCACUCACACUCAGGAUUAGUGUAUAUCAGUUGUAUAAUUCUGAUUGCAGAACUCAAUAUAUAAAGGCAGAACAUCCUUCUCUGAUCCUUGUCAUUGUAACACUACUACCCACUCUUUUUCAAAAGGAAUCCAUUAUGAAACUAAAUAGUAAGAACAUUAUAGGGGCACCUGGGUGGUCCAGUCGGUUAAGAGUCUGCCUUCUGUUCAGGUCAUGAUCCCAAGGAUUGAGCCUCAUGGUCCUCUGGCUCCCUGCAUGGCAGGAAGCCUGCUUCUCCCUCUACCUCUGCCUGCACCUCCCUUCCCCCUGCCCGUGGUCAUACACUCUCCCUCUCAAAUAAAUAAAUAGAUCUUAAAAGAAAAUAAGACUGUUCUAUUAUGUUGACCAGAUGACUUUAAUCUACUGGGUUGUUUAUGUGUACACAUUAUCUUUAACCUUUGGUAGUUGGUAGAGAUAGAUAUCCAUGCCCGUAUCUCUCUUCAGGAACAAUUAUCCCUUAUUUAUGAACAGUGAGAUCAGCAGACAGUCUCCAGCUUUCAUUUCCUUCCAAGUCUGCUCUGCAGAAGGCCACCUGGCUCCAGAUGAUAUCCUUUCCUGGGGUAGUCCAUUUUCAAUGACUGAGUGAUAUGGAGAAGAGCUGGAUCACAUGCUACCUUGUUGUCAGUGAGGACCCCAUCAGUGGUGGUGGGAAGAUCAUAAUUGGUCUCAGGCACCAGCUAGUGGUCCAGAUGUUAAAUUUUUCACAAGAGGUGAGAUUAAGGUGGUAAGCCAGUGGAAGAGUGUUUUAUUUCAGGUGCAGAACAAAUGGAGAAAAUAGUAGCAUUUUGCAUAAAGAGAUAAUAUGGCCAUGUUUAAGUGCCAUCAUUGCACUCGAGAGACAUUAUGAACAUCUGGAAGUAACAGAAAAUGGAAAAUGAGAAGUGAAAUCCAGAGGGCCUGACUGACAAAAAUUCUGUUAUCUCCUGAAAAGUGUCUCCUGCCAAGGACCAUGCCCAGGACUUAAUAGAGUGGGUAAACUUAAAUUUGACUCAACAACAAAAAGAGAUGUGUCAUGCUGAGCCCACUGUUCUGACCGGGAAAACAUGGGAUCUUAAUGCCUGAGUUGAGGAUAUAUGGACAUAUGACCCAAAGAUUUUGACAAACCUAAGCAAGAUUUUGACUAGUUUGUAUUUUGAUUGCUUUGUCUGAACUAUUCUUGCCUAUAUGUAUGACCCAUUCCUCCCAUUUCAGAGCUAGUACUGCCUGUUCCUGGAAUUGGUUGCAGAAGUCAUGUGCCACCUUCCUCAUGAUUACUCACAGCAUAAUCAAACUAAAGAUGUGCUUAGCCUGAAAAGAUAGGUAACUGUGCACUGAGGAAAGGGAUCCAAGCACUUUUAAGGACUAUUGGGCACAGAAUCCAAUUGCCAUCAAUACUGGGAGACUUGAAGCACAAUAAUAGAGUGGGUCCAGACCAAGAACAUCUGGACUGUCUGGGCAUCCUCCAGAACCUCUCACUGAUCCAUUACAUUAAUGUGAUAUAUCCACUGAGUCACAUGAGACAGAAAAUGCUGGCACGCUGGAGGUCUUGGUAAGAAAUGCACACAUCAGAGAGUUGGAGAUAAAUACUACAAUGAUUUAAGAGUAUUAUACAUACAUAAAAAUUCAGGAAUCCCAUGGUCAUCCCCUCCAUGUAAAAUACACAUUUUUAAAUAUCGCACCUACUGCCUUGAAGAAGGAAGCAAAGAACCUGAUAGGCUCCUUGGGUGCAGGGGGCAUCAUAUUUAACACCGAAGGACACUGCUCUGGCUCACACACCAGGCUUUUCAGUAUGUACAUGCAGUAGGCGAAGCAGCCUUGCUCUUUGGGUGUAUGACUCAACAGAAUCUCUGAUGUUGGAGGAACGCAAGUGGGAAAAGCUGCUCUAGACCAUGCUACUUUGGGUGAAAUACACAUAUUAUGAAAAUGGACUUCUGUUAUGUUGCUUGUCCCUAGUGGGGGCAGAUUACUUGAACCCAUGGUCAAGUGACCAUGCAUCCAAAACAGUCAAUAUAAUUUGAGGACCAUCAAAUCUACUAUGUUAUUAAGACUGAGCAGGCCCAGCAUCAAUCCAUUGAAAAGCAGAAGUAGAACAUCCAUGAAUUAAGCAGGAGCAGAACCAUGGGAUAUAAGCAAGCUAUAUAACAGAUAUCUCGGAUCGCCAUGGGAGCUACUGUUGUUGCUUCAGUGCCCUUCCCUCAGCUUGUUCUCUGCCUUUGUGGAGGAACCCUGUAUGAACAGGUGAAGAAAGGGGGGGAAAGUCUAAACUUUUGGUUCACAAAUGGAUUGGCUUGGUUUAUGAAUAUAAGCCAAAAAUGGAUGGCAGCUGCCUAAUAGCUUUACGUACAGGUGGCCUUUGAAAACAAUGACAAGGAAAAAUCAUCUCAAUACAAAAGACCUUUGGGUGAUGAUCAUGGUGAUUCACUUUGUGUAGGAAGAAGGUGGCCUGAGAAAUUUGCAACCUAUAUAAAUGUAUACCUCAUCAUACAUACUUGGAAGCAAUGGGAAAGGACUUACCCUGCUGAUCUGGGACCUAGAAAGAAAAAUACUGGAAGAUCAGGGAUGAGAAUGUCUGGGAUAGAGGUGACAGAGGCACAGGGAUGCACAUUCUGGAGUAUACAAGAUGUGUCAAAAUUUUUCCAUUACAUAUUAAGGCCCAUGAGAGAGCAGCUGCCAUGGAAGAAACACCAAACCAGCAACUAGACAAAUGACCUAGCCAGAGGAUAUCACCAGCCUCUGUCAUACCCAGUGGCAAUGAGCAUAUCAAUAAAAGGGCCGCCGCAGCAGCAGAGGUGGAGGCUAUGCAAGGAUCCAGCAGCAUGGACUCCCACUCUGAACCGUACAGAAUGACCAUCACUGUUGAAUGACCUAAUGGCCUGUAACAAAGACCAAUGGUGCACCCGCAAUAUGGCGGCAAUCCUUGAGGAAAUCCACAACCACUUGGCGGCAACUGACCACAUGAGACCCCUUUCACCUUAUAUGCACAUUUCCAGUGACCAUCCCAAAGCUCCUUUCCACAAUCUCCCACCUGGGAAUUUACCAGAUGGCUACACUAACAACAUCAACCCUGAGAUCAAAGUUUGGUAAUACUUGUCCCAGAGGAGAAGAGACAAAGGUCGGAAAUGAUUGAAUAGCUGGAAGAGUAAUGGAAUUACAGAAAUAAAAGUGUUCCUCCCCUCUAUGUAUUAAGUAGGGAGGAGCUACAUUUCCUAUGAAUCCUUACCCUGUCGGUCAUAUUUGAAUCCUAAUGGGUCCUCAUAACUGCCACUAAAAAUGAACUUGUUUUUCUAAGUUUACCAUAGCGUGCAGUAAGGGCCACUUAUCACCUUAAAACAGAGGGCAUCGGGUGUCAGUUAAGGAGGAAGGGACUUGGGGAGAGGCAAGUGCAAGGACCUUGCUAAGGCACCCGGGAGUCAAAGGAGGCUUAUGUUAAGCACUUGUUACCCAGAUAUCACAGACUCGUAUCCCUUUCUCAUUACAAAGGGAGGUGAUUUGUUCUCACAGGAAUAGACAAUAUUCCAAGUAUGAGAUCACAUUUCCUGCCAGCGGUUUAGCACCACCGUCUGAGGACUCAUUAAGUGUUUGGUCCACGGGUGUGAGGUCUCACGUAAUAUCAUGCCAGACUAAGUCACCCAGCUUACAGCACAGGGCUCACGGUAUCACACUUCAUACCACUCAGAAACCACUGGGGAAACAGCCUACCGAAGGUAUACCCAAAGUGCCAACUUAGAGCCAAUGCUUUAAGACGCUAUCCUUCAGGUUACAUCAUAUGCCUUGAAUCAAAGACCUUUAUUCGGUACUAUGUUCCCAAGAGGAAGAAAACAUAGCGAUGGAAACAAUAGGUAAAAAGAAGAAUGACACCCCUUACCCUCAUUUACAAUGACCCCGUGGAGGAUUUUGUGCUUCCUUUUCCCACUGGGCUCUGUAGGUGUGGAGAUCAUGGUUUCUAGUGAGGGCAUGUUUUCUCCAGAAACAUAGCAAGACUCCCAUUGCAUGAUGAGCUACCACUGCUUCCUGGGCAUGCUGGCUCCUUGUGUCCAGGGACCAGCAGGCAAGAAAGGAGUCACUGCACUGGGAGAGAUAAUGGGUCCUGGUCAUCAGGAGGAGGAAGGCAUGACAUUACAUGAUGUGGGCAGGAUCCCAGGUGGCCAGCUUGGUGGUCUCUUGGCCUAUUGUGACUUGAUGGACAGGAAAGACAGCCUUGGCUGGAGACGGGAAGUCUGGGCAGGGGCUCAGGCCCUUUGGAACGGGUAGGUUCUAACUUAACCCACGAGCCUUUGUCAAGAAGAGGAAACUCACUACAAUCCUGGAAGUGCUGCUCCCCAAACAUAUGGAAGUGGGUCUGAACAGUGAAAGGAUAUGGAUUUUGGUAGGAAUGAAGGUAAGCUGCCCGAAUCCUCCUUCAAAGAAGCACUUGCUGCAAAGUGUCAAAAAUGAGUAAAGAAGACAAUUUAGAUGAUACAGACAAACUUUAUUAAAUACUUUAUGGAGAGGAGUUCCCAAGCAUCCAGAGAACUACAAAAUGAGAUUGAAUACAGGAAGUGUUUAUAGGAUCAAGAAUAAGGGACAAAGAAUAAAGUAUGGAGCCCGGAGCUGGCCUGGCACUUGGAGACUGGCUGAGUGACAUACUACAUCCUGGUCAAACGGAGCACUUACAGGGACACAGAAGUUACCCAAGUUGUGGUUUGCUGACGUGGCCCCCGGGCAAGAGAAGCUCCAUCUUGGGCUUAGAAAUUUAUUUCAAGUGAAUUGGGGAACGCAGACGACAGAUAGCUCUGGUCAUUACUGCGAGGUCGCCCCGUCUCAUCGAGGUCACUCUGUUCCUGGGGCAGCACACUCCUUGCGACAGAGCAUGGAAGCAGGACGGGGAACACUCUGGCUCAGUCUUUUACUGACUGGAGAGCCUCCUCUAGAGCCCUGGGGGCCCCGCAGUUGGGAAAAGGGCCUGUGUCAGCCAGACAAAGGGUACUGUGGGACUGACCCUGCACCAGGAUCAUGCGUGGAGAGGGGAGAGAGCAGGGCGUGGGGAAAAGCUCAGGCUUGAUUUUAAUCCUGGUGCUAACACUCAGGAGGUAUCUGACAUGACUCAUGCCAGAAUAAGUCAGCAUAAAUGGACAAUUGCGUGAGAGGUGCACCUAUUCACAGGUGCGAAGAGUAAUUAUAUACUCAGCGACCCUGGUCAAAGAGAAGCAAGUCUUUUACUCAUCACACAAGGGUUCUCUUCUGAGCAAGAUGCCCAUGAAUCGUGAGCUGGGGCGGGGAGCCCGCAUGACACAAGGUCAGAAACACAGAGUCUUGCUCUGGCCUCAACCUCCCAUUCUAAGGCAGUUUCCUUCCAUUUGCUAGAAUGUCUUUUAACUUGCCCAGCCCAAAACUGCUCUUUGUGCAAAUAAACCAAUUUUUAAAUAUGUGGGUUUUUUUUUCUUAAUCAUCUAAAGAAUUUUAAAAGAAAUGCUUGUGACUAUUUCUAAGAUUGCCAGAAUUUAGGGGAAAAACACUUUCAGGACCUCUUAUUCUUGUAAUAGCUUCAAGUAAAACCAUUUUCAAGUUCUUCUUUUUCAAAUUUUUUUCAGACGAAACUAAUGAAUAACACUAACAGUAGUAAUUAUGAUACUGAUGAAAUUAUAAUAAUGAUAAUAUGUAUUGAUUAUAAUAUAUUAAUAUGAUGUAUACUAAUUAGUACAAUGAUACACUUAUGAUAACGAGCAAACAUUUGCUAAAUCAAUUUUGAAAAUAGUUACCAAAGUCCGUGGAUUUUUUACUGAUACACUAAAUGAACGAUAUAGGUAAUUAACCGGGUUAAUUGAAAUAUCCAAAUAAAUUGAGGCAAAGAGAGUUUCAAGCACUAAUUACAUAGUUAAUAGCCUUCGAGCUCUACUUCUUUUUGUUGGUAAAGACCAAAAUGCACCAGCGCUUGGGUCAUUCAUUUCUUCUGGUAUCUCAUUUUUCAGCCUCUAAACAAUAUCCAUACUGCUAAAUGCUAUAAUAUAAUAUAAUAUAAUAUAAUAUAAUAUAAUAUAUAAUAUAAUAUAAUAUAAAGCGCUAAAUGCUUCUAAAACAGCACAUGCCUACAAGCACAGGCAGGCACAGCCCUGCCUUCAGAACUGGGGGAGCGAAGUUCGAGAACAGAAUCAACCUCUGAGAGUGUGUGAGGGAAAGAUGCUUCUGACCGCAAGUGCUUUUCUCCGUGGAACACCAUGCUCACCCUGCACCUGCAGCUUCUUCGCUGUCAGUGUCGGCAAAGUGAUGCCUCGGACACAGGAAAGGUGAGGAAGGAUGUUGAACACUCCAGGCAGGGAGAUGGAGACUGAGAGAGGGUCAUGGGCUUUCCUGUUUUCUGGGCUUUGCAGCUGUCUACUCUGCUCCAGGGGAAGAGCUCAGGCUGGUUUCAUGGCUGGUGUGGGAGGGGAUGUGAGAGCAGAUGGAGACCGGAGAAGACACGGGCAUGAGGAACAAAGGCAAGUUGUGGAGGGAGGAAGGAUUUGUUGAAAUAAAAUCACCCAAGGUCACUAUGGAUCUGGCCCAGAGAGGGAGCAUCUAUCAAGCCUCAGCCCAGGAGUCUAUUUGACUAUUACAGAGAUUGACCCAAGCACGAUUGCCAUAUUCAUCGAGGGUGGCUGUUGCGGAAAGAGGAGAUUUACGAAAGGGAGCAAAUUUUGAAUCAUGAAUGUCUCCUAAUAAUCCCUCUUCAACUCUGGUUUAGGACUGGAGAGAUGACAGCCAUGAAGGCCAGUAUAAUGGAGCUUUGCUAAAAAAAAGAUUUCUAGAAGACAGAAAAUACUUGGAAGCAUAUUUAUGGAUAGUGAUGUGGAAAAGUCACCGUGUCAUGUAAACACAGAGAAAAAUGAGAUGGAGAGCCAGUCAGCCUGACACCUCUGGAGAAUCUCUAGACCUGGAGUCAACAGAAGUGGCAUAUGAUGGGAGUCAAGGAGAAAAUAUAAGGAUUAUAUGAAGAAGGAUAUGAAAACACUGCAGAUAAGCUAGGAAGAGCUAGGAUCCCGGUACCAAAAUAAGCCCUCAGGUGACCAGGAACAAGGUAGGGUAAGACCACAUUUUGAGAAGAAAGAGACACAAGCCAAAACAGCCUGGAUGCCUGAGCAAUGUCAUGGAGAAGAAAAGAGCUUCCCUGGAGAAGAGAACUCAAGACACAUCACAAUUUGUAUAAGCCAAAAAUAUACAUUCUUACGUUAA